GUACUUAUUUUGGCAGCAUGUAUACAUACUAAAAUUGGAAUAAUACAGAGAAAAUUACUAUGGUCCCUGAGGAAGAAUGAUAUUCAAAUUUGGGAAGCAUUCCAGUAAAAA
Small nuclear RNA from Sarcophilus harrisii (Tasmanian devil), 111 nucleotides. The record is from Ensembl. NCBI's taxonomy places the organism in Eukaryota, Metazoa, Chordata, Mammalia, Dasyuromorphia, Dasyuridae.